ACUCAACAAAUUUAUAAUUUUUUUGGGCUUAGUAUCAAAAGAUGGAAUAUUUUAUCAAGUUUGAAAUCUAAUGAAGAAACUUUCCUGAAGUAUGCAUUGCAUUAAUGCUAUUUCUCACAAUUCCUGUGACUACAUCUAGUGCUGAACGAUCAUAACUUCGAUGAUGUUAAAGACACUUUUGCGGAACAGAAAUCUCGAAAAAAUAACUUAUUGAAAUUAAAUUGUUGUUUUGUUUAUUAAAAUCAUCUGUUGAAAUAAAAUUUGUUUCUUUUAAUCAAACUGA
This is a long non-coding RNA of Anastrepha obliqua, 283 nucleotides long. RefSeq lists it as uncharacterized. The transcript is spliced from 2 exons. The record is from RefSeq and is a predicted model, not a curated record. Lineage: Eukaryota; Metazoa; Arthropoda; Insecta; Diptera; Tephritidae.